This is a ribosomal RNA of Mus spicilegus (steppe mouse), 113 nucleotides long. Lineage: Eukaryota; Metazoa; Chordata; Mammalia; Rodentia; Muridae. The record is from Ensembl.
AUUUACAGCCAUACCGCCCUGAACAUGUCUAAUCUUGUCUGAUCUUAGAAGCUAAGCAUGGUUGAGCCUAGUUAAGUACUGGGAUGAGAAAAGGAGUAAGGGACAUACAAACA